AAGAAUCUAGAUUUCUCUUUAUUUUUCUGCAUUCUCAUCAGCCAAAAAACGUCCUAAGGGUUUCUCCAAGCUGGUUUUUCAUAUUUUCUGCACCAAGUGAGUUAAUCCUUGCCUUUUUCUUGUAAUUUAUGCGUUUCUAAGACUUUUACAACUAGGUCCUAUUACUAAAUUCAUUAGUUUUUGAUUUUAUGAAUGAUAUUGAAAGUUGAUAUGAAUAUGUGCUGGAAGUUUAUGAGGAAAUAGGAUGAAAUUGAUGCUUUAAUUUGUUUAUGAGAUGAUUUUAUUAGGUAAUUCCAAUAGAAAUUGAUUUGUAGGACCUAAUUGUGAAAAAGUUUGGAAUUAAAGUUUAGUGCUGAAAUUCUGAUUUUCAAAGGUUAUAAGGUAGUUUAAAGUGAUAUAAUAAAGUGUUGAUUGAGAAAAAUCAGCUCAAUUGAGAGGUUAAUUGAGCAGGGACGAAAUUAUCAUUGUUGAAAGUUAAAGGGAAAAAUGGUAAUUAACACCAUGCACUAAAACAGUUUUAGACAGCAGCAGUACUCUGACUUUGAAAAUUCACCAAAAAUUGUAGAGAUCGAAUUAGAGGAUGAAUAAAAUAUUAAAUUAAAGCUUAUUGAGUCUAGUUUCUUAUAAAAGAAACGGUGUAAGCAAUGGAAUUGUAAAUCAUGAGAUAUAAUAGAUUUUGUGAGACAAGGUCAGAAUGAAUUUGGGUUCCCCUGUUCUGACUUUGGAAAAUCAUUAAAAAUUGUACAAAAAUGAUUAUGAGUUAUAAUUUAUAUUCUUAGAAUUCUUAAUGAAUCUAUUUUCUGAAUAAAUAAAGGGAAGCAUCAUCCUAAUUCUGUACAAUGAGAUAAUUAAUUUUUAGUGAAGAGGGGUCAGAACUGUCAUAUAGUGAAACAAGGGAAACUUUAAGGAAUAAACUGUACUUAUUGGCUAAACCAAAAAUUCUGAAAUUUUUAUGGUAAUAAGAUAUGUGAGUCUAGUUUUAGGUAAAAUUAACGGAUCUUAAUUUGGAGUUCUGUAGCUCAAGAUAUAAAUAAUUUAGUGACUGUGACUCAGUGAGGCAGCUUUGAAUGCACUAUAAAUAAUAAUGGAAUUGUAGAGAAAGUUACAUAUGAACAUGAAAUGUAUGAGAUUAAUGAUUAAAUUUAUUUAUUUAGAUCCGGAAAAUUCAAAUACGAAGCAAGAUCGAGGAAAAGAAAAAGUUCGGGAUUAGUAGAUUUUUGGUUACGAACAAGUGUCGAGGUAAGUUCGUGUAACUUGAAUUAUAUUCAUAAAUGCUUGAAAUGUUUGUUAUUGAUGUGAAAAUGAGUUGGAUGUUUAUUGUAUGAUAAUUGAUGAAGUAUUGAUAUUCUUGAUGAAAAGAGGAAAUAAAUCCCGGUUGAAUGAAAGGAAAAUUCGAUGGAUCUCUGAAAAGGAAUUGACGGUAAAAAGGAUCUAGCCCGGACGGGUGAUCCUAUCCUGAUAUAGCCCUCCCGAAGAAUAUGUGGAAAAUGGAUUUAGCCCGGACGGGUAAUCCGAAUUAGGGUCUGAAUUUAGCCUGGACUGGUAAUUCAGAUCCAAGCUCAUUAGAGUAAUUGUCGUUGCAGGGGAUUUAGCCUGGACUGGUAAUCCCGACAAUACUCUGUGAGUUUAUAUUACAGGGGAUUUAGCCUGGACUGGUAAUCCCGCUGUAAGGAUGAGGUUCGCGGGAGUGUGCUCUCUGAAAUGGAAAUGUGCGCACAUGAAUAUGAAUUGACGGACCUGGAUUUGUACACUUAGGUGUACCCCUGAAUAUCCAUCGAAAUUCCAAGUAUUUCAACGGGAUAAAUAUGGAAAAAUAACAAGGAAAUGGAAAUCAUGGAAUUGAUGAGCUCAUCAAUCAUUUAUCUUUGUAAUGAAUUUGUAUGAGGUUGAGUUUGUAUGUGAUAGGUAUAUGUUUAUGUGAAUUGGAUGUGUGCUUGUGUUAUUAAAUGAUGGAUGUAUAAGUAUGGUAAGUAUAACUCCUGUUGCAUGAACUUACUAAGCACAAAGUGCUUACCCUGUUUCUUUUUCCCCUGUUUGUAGAGUUAAGAGCUCGGAAGUCAGAUUUGGUCGGAGACACAUCACACUAUCAAUCUCGAGAUCUCGGUACAUAAAUGAACUUUAUUUUGGAAAUCAAUGGCAUAUAUAAGCUAGUGAAUUAGAUGUUAAUGUGAAAUGAAUGUAUGGUUAGCCAUUGGUGUGGCUAACAAAUUUUGGUUUUCGUAUGUGAUGAAAUUACCUUAUGAAUAUGAUAAAUCUAUCUUGAAAAAAAAAAUUCGGUAAAAUCUGGUAAUACCUCAUACUCUAUUUCAGCGACGAAUACGGGUAGGGGGUAUUACAAAAUUUACUAGAAUUAUUAUUAAAUUUAAUAAUAAAUAAUUUACUUAUAUUUUAAUAUAAUUAUUACCAAAUAUAAUUUAAUAAAAAUAAAAAUAAAAAUAAAUAAUUUAAUAACAUUCUUAAUAUAAUUAUUAUUAAAAUAUGAAUUAAUAAAAAUCAUAACAUAAUCUCAUGGGAUCAUAGUUGCCAAUAUUACAAAUAUUGAUCCAAAAACAAUAAUUAUUCUCAUUUUUAUAUAUAUGAAAAAUAUUAAACAUCUAUACACCAAACAAACCCCAGCAAGCAGAACUCUAUUUUAACUUCUCUAUAUUUUUCCCUAACCUAUUAACAUCAAUUCCAAAAAUAUUCCCCCAAAAAUAUCAAAAAAGAAAAAGGGUCAUGUUGCUGCCAUUGAUGUAUCUUCAAUCUAAAUCACUUUCCAUACUCCCCAUGGCCUUCAAUUAACUUGAUCUCUGCAUCUUGCCAAAACCCCACAUCAGAAACAUGAAUCGGCUUUUUCCACAAACCUAUAAUAGAAAGCAAAAUGUCAAAUCAUGGCACCUUGCUGGCAAAAAAGCAAUGAAGAAAAAAAUCACCUUUAAAAUAUAUACACAUAUAUAUACACACACAAAAAUAAAAAGUGGGUGGAGGAUAACAAUAAGACUUAAGCUAAUUUAGAAACAAACUACAAUGAAAUAGUUCUAAAUAGAAGUCAACAAAUUUAAGUUAAUAGUAGUAAUAAGAUAUUCAUGCCAAUGAGUUUAUAACAAAAGAUCGACAAAAACACUAUGAUUUGUCAAUAACCACAAAAUUGUUAUAAGUGACACUGCAAUUAGCCUCAAAACAAAUCUUAUGCCACCAUAAAAAAAGAUACAAGGAGAGGCUCUAUCUACUUGGUUCUAGAUCCAAAUGGUAAGAAUAGAAGACAUGAUAAUGGAUCACAUUAGGAAUGAGGUGCAUUUUAAUAGAGUUUGAAUUGCCAAAUUUAAGAUAUAUUCUUAUCACAUCGAGUAUGAGGCGCAUCUUAAUAGAGUUUGAAUUACCAAAUUUAAGUUAUAAAUCAGGUUGCUAAAUCAAGAUUAGAUACGAUUUAUCCAUCUAACAGUGCUAGGAUUUACUUGUAUCAAAAAUCAAAUCAGGACCAAUCCAGAAAGAACUAAUAACUUUCAUAAUAAUGAACACCCCUACAUACACCAUGCUCAACACUUGUAACCAAGUUUUUCUUGCCUAUGUUUAGGUUGUUUAAAAGGUUGCAAUUUUGAACAUGUUUUCUAGUAUAGAAUUUUAAGAAGCAAUAAAAAGAUAUAGGACCAAAGUGCCCUGGCAACAAAAUACCAGUAAACGUAACUAAUACAAGUUACAAUGAAGCCCAUCAUACUGGAGGCAGAACAAGUUCAUCUUCAUCCUCCCAUGAUUCCUUGAUAUCAGAGUCAUCAAUAUCUUUAUCAUCCCAUUUGCUUUUAAGUUGUUCCUUUGUAAGGAGAGGUGGAAUCUCAUCCUCUGCAACAAUAGCAUACAACUUCUUGAGCAAAAAAAGGGGGGGUUUCAAGAAAAUGAAACCAUGAAUAAAAUGAAUGACAUAAUGCAAUAGGUUCUCCAACUAAGAUUGGAAACAUACCAUAAUCUUUAGCACUUAUUAACAACUUAGAAACAUAUGAAAUACAUAAUAGAAAUGAAUCUUCUUUAAGGUCUCUUUACACUUUAAAACUCCUAUACAAAACUACGAGGCGACCAUCAGAUAAUGUUUCAAGAAAAGAACUAGUGAAUCCCAGCAAUUGAAGCCAAUACUAAAUUCCUAGGAUGUUGCCACAAUUACUGAUCUUCCACUACAUGCAGUUUUUCUUUUUAAUCGAAAGAAAAAAAAACCCUAAAUUUCUCUUUUUGGUCUGGUAACACCAUAGCCGAUCUCCCAAGAAACUCAAAGCAAACACCUUUGAAACAUCUCAACUCAACCUCAUAAAAUCCAAAACCAAAAACAAGUAAAAGCCUUAAAUUUCAAUAAACCCAAUAAACAUUUAGCUCUAAAAAAAAAAGAAGUUUCCCACAUUCAAGUUCAUACAUAAUAAAACAUACAAAAGAAAAUAGAAUCACUUAUCAGUCAAAGCCCUAAGAAUUAACAACAAAUUCGGGCUAAAAUUAAAACUUAUCCUAGUCUUCCAUCUUUACUUAACAACAACUUGCCUUGUUAUCUUUCCAGCAUUUGUGAAAUAAAAGCAAUGAAAUCAAAUAGGAGAAAUCAGAAAUGCAGUGAAAAAGUAAAAAAAAAAAAAAGAAGGAAAAAAGGGUUGCAACUCUGCAACCAAAGGGUUUUAUUGGCUUAAAAGGAAUGAUGGCUUCAAUAGAUUGACCUAGGUCUCCUCUGUAAUCAAAGGGAAAAAAAAGGAAACGUAGAGAUGGGAAGAAAAGAAAGUUACAGUUUCUUCAUUAUUUCGGCAAAUGUGAGGGGAAAAAUUAAAAUUGGGGGAAAAAUAAUCUUAUUCCAUGCAUUGAAUGACAAUUCAGCGAUGAGCGAAGGGAAUGGCUAUUCAGCCAAUUCCUGUAAUAGACCCUGAAUCAAUUUAGGCUCGUAAUACCAUUACAGUUAACCAAACUAAUAUCAGGUGAUGGGACCGCCGGGCUAGAAUCUACUCAUAAACCCCUAACCAAACAUGUUAUUAGUCUUUCACCAUUGAAAUAAGAAAAAAAAAAUCUUGAGAAACCAUUGUUAAGCCUCCAAGGUUUGGCUAGGACCUUUGCAUGUAAGUUAAUUUUAUACCCAUUUUUUAUGAAUUUUAUAUUUUUGAAAUCAUUGUAUUUUAAUUUAGCUAGCCCAUGGACUAUUUUGAAAUAUUGUUAAAGUUUUUAAAGUUACUAUUGAUGUUCUUGAAGCUUUUUAGAUUUUAAUGGUUGAGUUUGAAGCUUGGUGUUGAAAUAAGACUAUUUUGUAAAGUGGAUUUGGAUAGAUUUAAGUUUAAGGACUAAAUCGAAAGUAUGUUAAUUUUGGCAUGAAUUUCUUGUAAAAUUUCAGUACUUGAGGGUUUUAUAAGGAUGGUAAUGAAUUCGACAUGAUGGUUUAGGGCUUAAUUGUGAAAAGUAAGCUUGUUUCGAUUUUAAGGGAUAAAUUGAACAAAAUGUAAAAUUUUAGGGAAUUUGUGAAAAUGUUAAUAGGAAGUCAUAGGCAUUAAAUUGAAUGUUAUAAUGUAAUUGAGGCUGAUGAAUUGAAAUAAAAUUACUGUAUAGAUCAAGAACUGGUAGGUAAUCGUGGAAAAGAGAAAAUCGCAUACUAGUCCCUGAUACUCCUAUCUUUAUUGGUUGGCCUUGGUAAGUUCAUAAAAUAUUGUCUUGUGUAUUUUAGUAAUGUUUUUUUUAUUGAAUUUUGUAUUUUGGGGAUAUUAAAUGUGAACUUAAAUGCUACAAUUGAUACAAGGUGAGAAAAUGAAUUGAGAUGGAAAUGUCUGUUAUAUGUAAUGAGCUCGGAUGAACAUAGGAUAUGAUACAAUUGGCAUGCCAAUAGGUUAUAUUGUGUGCUUUACGGGAUUGAUAUGUGCUGAGAUGAUGACAGAUGAUAUGAUAUUAUACAUUAAAUGUAUCAAAAUCCAUCAUUUGUUGUGGAUUACCGAGUUAUAUUUAUAGUGAUCUAGGGGAGGAUGUAAAGCCUACGAGCUUGGCAAUUGGUGCCCAGACGUGUUUCUAAAGGGAUGUUAGCCUUUGGGCUAGGCCUAAGCGCCCAGGCAUGUUCUCGGUUGGAUUAACUCGACUGAGCAUUCUAGCGUGUUUUUGGUGGAUAGUCGCGUAUCGAUAGUUCAUAUCAGUUCAUCGGGCUGAAUCUUAAUUGUUAAACAAUUUAAUGACUUGUAUGGAUAUAUGGUGAUGAAUCUUGAUGAAAAAAAUUGAAAAUGUGUUUAUAUUUAUAGAUGUUGUAUGAUGAUUUGAUAUUGAAUUAACUCGUUUACUUGAAAGUUCAUAUGGCUUGAAUAUGAAGUACCCACCUCUUGAUAUGGUUGUGGUGACAGGGUUAAGUAUAGUUAAUUGUUUGUUAUUUAAAAUUUAAAUAAAAGGUAUGUUAUAUUGUUUUAACCUAUGAACUUACUAAGCUCAAUUGAAGCCCACUUUGCUUUGUUUUUCUUUUUUUUUUUGUAGUUGUUGUGUUGCGGAACCAGGUAAUCAGAUCACACUAUCCAGCCAUUUUUUAGUAGACUUUGAAAAUGUUAUAUUUUGGUUUUGUGGCAUGUAAUAAGAGUAAUUUGUAUAUGAACUUGUGUGGUUGUAAUGUAUAUAUGUUGGUGUUUGCACAAAAUGAAGUGUGGUUAAUGGUUAAAUGGUAUGGUUGCUCAUGGUUUGAUGUGGUAAUCUUGAAUGUGAAAUUGAGCUUAGUAUAUGAUGAAAUAAAAUAGGUAAUCGGUCGGUUGAAAUAUGGUAUGAAAUGAAUUGCUAAGUGAGAUUUUGGUUGAACAUAAGGCAUAAUGGUUUUACAUUUGAUCUGGAUGUUAUUUAGGUGUUAUGUAUAAUGGUUAUUUUGUUAGCAAAUGCAUCGGUGAAUAUACCUUGGUAUGUGGUUGUUGGUUAGUGAUAGAAGUUAUGAUAUCUUUGAUGAUUCAUAUGGUAAUUGCUUAGCUAUGCUUAAUCUUGAAUGAUGUUUGUGAUGAUGUCUUAUGGCAUAUUGGUUAGGCAAUACUAGGAUGUAUUAUAUCAUGUUUUGGAUUGAGUUCAUGAAGUGUUUUAGGUAAGAAUUUAAAGAAAUUGUAAGGUGCUAUAUGUGUAUGUAUGUAUCCUUAAAAUGGUAUGUGAUUUGAGCAUAAAAUGAACUUUAAAACUCAUGAUUUUGACAAUUUUGAUAAAAGUAUCGAUGUUAGGGACUAAGGUAUCGAUACUGGACCAAAUGAACAAUUUUAAAAUCGACAGAAUUCUAAUUUGGCGUCGGAAUUUUUCAAUAAGUAUCGAUAAUUCUUUAAAAACAUCGAUACCUUUUAGAGGUAUCGAUAAAAUGAUUUGAACCAAAUUUUCCAAAUUUGACAGAAUUUCAAACUAGUAUCGAUAUUUAAUUUGGUAUUGAUAUCAAACUCAAAAAUACCGAUACCUAUUACAAAAAUAUCGAUACCUUAUCCAGUUUUUGAAAAUUUUAUAAUUUGGUCAUUUUUCAUGCUCAAAUCUAACCCUUUGUAUUUAAAACUCGAUUUUAGUUCCGUUCUCAUUUGUAAUAAUUAUUGUGUGUAUAAAUAGAAUCAUUCAAUGUUUUAAAUUUUACAUGAUUAUUUCGUUUUAUUUGUAGCAUCUUAUAGCUUAGGUCCAAUGACCAGACCGAGUAUAGGGUGUUAUAAGUGGGAACUUAUUACAAAUUAUUUAAUCCCUUGUUAUAUAUGUCUAAUUGACCCCAAGUUGAAUUUAUCCUCGAUCUAUUUAUGGAUUCAUUCACUUGUGGCGUUCAUGGUGUGACCUACUGUUAGCUCAAUCGAUUAACUAAAAUAGCCAAGAAGGGGUGAAUUGGCUAUUAAAAUUUUUUGUGGAAGCAAGGAUAAGAAAAUGAGACCUAGAACACAAUGAUUUUAGAUUUGUUCAGCCCCGAUUGCCUACUCUACUACCUUAGCUUUCCACCACUAAGGAUUGUCCUAAAUUCACUAAUUUGAUGAACCUUUGAGGACAAUGCUUAACCUUACAACUCCCAUAGGAUUUGUACCAGCCUGUUUUUCAGUGGUGUCGGAAACAGUGAUUUUGGGACCAAAAAUUCGAUGAGUAAGUUCAUAUAAUUAGUAUUUAAAUUAUACGAGUCAAUAGUAAUUUUUAUAUUGAAUUUUGAUUUGAUGAUUUUAAAUAAUUGAAUUAAAGGUUAGUUUAAGUGAUUUAGUUCAAAAGUCAAGUGGUUAUUGAAAACGAGCUAUUAGGACCUCGUUUCUGUAAUAUAAAGUCGUAAAUAUUUUUAUUAAAUAUUUACAGAGUCAUAUUAUACAUGAAUUGAAGUUGGGUCCGGUAAUUUUGAUGAUUUUUUUGCUUAAUUGAGGUAAAAGAGAUUAAAUUGUAAAAGAAGUAAAAGUUAAUUGCUAUAGAUUUAAAAUAGUAAAAGGAUCAAAAUGGAAAUUGAACCAUGGUAAAAGAGUCCAAGCGGUGGUGGCAUGAUAAAAUCUACUAACUUUUGGGGCUAUUUGCUCAUUUAGUCCUAAUUAGUUUAGGAUUAAAUUGAAAAUAAGCUAGUUUAGUUAAAAUUUAAAAUAAUUGAAGAACCAAUUGUGCAAUUAAACCCUCAUUAAUUAGAAAUUAUACCAUUUGAGUAGAUAAUGCACAGUUUGCAAGGCUAAUUACAUGAAAUUUUAUUGAAAUUGUAAGGUUAUAAUAGUAAUUUAUGAAAUUAGGUAAAAUGAAAAUAAAGCAAAAGCCAAAAUUGGCUAUCAUAUUUUUGUUUCUUCCUUAAAAAUUUGAAUCUACCAUUGUUGAGAGGAGAAACCUUCGACCAAGCUAGGUUUCGUCAAUUGAGUAGGUAAAUUUUGCCCCUUUUCAGUAAUUUUUAUGUUUUUGAUCUCGUAUUAGCUUAAUCUAGCUAACUCGGGGAUUAAUUUGUAAAGCUAUCAAAUUUUUUGGAUUAUGCCAUUGAAUCUUGAAGUUUUAUGGUAGAAUAUGAAGCUUGGUUUCUAGAUAAGACUAUUUUGUAAAGUAAUUUUUGGUAAUUUUAAUGUUUAAGGACUAAAUCAUUAAAGUGAUAAAAUUACAGAAACUUGUUGUGUAAUAACAGAAAUUAUAGGCUGUAGAGAGGCCUUAUAUAGUUCAGAUAAACUUUAUUUUAUUCGAAAUUGGUUAAAUUGCUUGUUUUGGGCUUAGGGACUAAAUUGUAUAAAAGUAAAAUGUUGGGGGCAAUUUUGUAAAAAUGUAAAAAAUAACUUAAUUGCAUAAAAUGAAUAAAUGUUGCUGUUAGAAGUAGUGAUUUGUAUGGAAUUAUUAUUUUAUAUCCUAUACGAGUGGAAAAUCGAGGAUAAGAGGAUAUUACCAAAUAGCCCCUGUACUUUGUCGUUGUUAUAGUUUAGUCCGCUAAGUUCGUACGGUUUAAUUUUAGUACAUAUUUAAAUCUAUUAUAGGAACUUAAUUGCAUAAUAUUGGAUUAUAUUGAUGUGUGUAAUUGGAAAUGGAAAUAAUGAAUUGAAAUGACAUUGAUCACUAAUUUAGAUAUUAUGAGUCGUUACUGUAAAUCAAUCCUGUAAGUUCAAGCAUUUAUAAAUGCUUCUAAUAAUCCUUAUACUCUUUCUUAGUAUACUAUUAUUGAAUGUUAUAUUAUAUACUGAAUGAGAUUAGCAAGCGUUACCCACUGAUAUAUUGAUUGGUGCUCAGACGAACGAUACCUACUGAAUCUACUGAAACGUAUGCGCUUUCGAGCCAUACCUACUGAAUUUACUGAAACGUAUGCGCUCUCAAGCCAUACCUACUAAAUCUAUUCAAAAUAAUGCUCUAUUGAAUAAAAGAAUCUACUGAUAUACUGAAUAAAUCUCCUGUAACGUUAUCCACUGAUAUACUGAAGAAGCUCAAUCGAGCGAAAUCUAGUGAUAUACUAAGUAAAGCUCAAAGGAGCAUUAUCCACUGAAUAUAUUGAACUACUAUACUGAUAGCUAAUUUAUGAUAAAUGUUGUGUUUUAUGGAAUUUUAACAUUUAAUUUUAAUUGAUUACUAUGUUUAAUUGGAAAGGUUUAUCAAUAUAUACAAAUGAACUUACUAAGCUUUAUUCAAGCUUACCUGUAUUUGUCUUAUUUUGUAGAUUACGUUUUGAAGGCUUAGAAGUUCAGAUUAACACAAGAAAUCACACUAUCCGGGAGAUCUUUGGUAGACUUUGUUUUAGUUUGGUAUAUAGGGUGUAACACCCCAAACCCGGCCUAAAAGUUAUGGCCGAAUUUGGCGGUGUCACAUUGAGUUGUUUAGCGUAAAACUUGUUGUUGUUGAAAUCUUUAAAAUCAAUUAAUCAUUUUGUUAUUAAGC
Molecule: long non-coding RNA, 10245 nt
Filed under: Gossypium raimondii (Peruvian cotton)
Lineage: Eukaryota; Viridiplantae; Streptophyta; Magnoliopsida; Malvales; Malvaceae
Description: long non-coding RNA (GRAI_LNC008616)
Source: RNAcentral